Molecule: ribosomal RNA, 172 nt
Filed under: uncultured bacterium
Lineage: Bacteria
Description: partial 16S ribosomal RNA
Rfam family: Bacterial small subunit ribosomal RNA
Source: RNAcentral
GAAUUGCUAGUAAUCGCAGAUCAGCAUGCUGCGGUGAAUACGUUCCCGGGCCUUGUACACACCGCCCGUCACACCAUGGGAGUCGGUAACACCCGAAGUCGGUAGCCUAACCGUAAGGAGGGCGCCGCCGAAGGUGGGAUUGAUGACUGGGGUGAAGUCGUAACAAGGUAUC